AUUCUCCAUUCAAUAUAAAUCAAUAAUACACAUGGAAUAUAUAGAAAGAUUAAUAAAAACAGUAAAAAUAACUUACAUAGCUAAAGAAAAUGCAUUAACAAACUCAAUUUUACUUCUUGUAUAAGAAAGUAAUAUAGUUUCAUAUGGGAGAUUCUCUAACCAACAACCGAUGUGAGCCUAAGUGAUGGUAUAACGUCUUACCUCACAUUUCAAGAGGACCUUUCUAUACCUUGCCAUCAGUAUAGAAUCUGAACUACUAAGUGGAUUCACUAGUCUAUGCAUAGAAUCACUAAUGAAUCAUCUAAAAAGUAUAA
This 314-nucleotide unclassified non-coding RNA is filed under the name Hevea brasiliensis (rubber tree). Lineage: Eukaryota; Viridiplantae; Streptophyta; Magnoliopsida; Malpighiales; Euphorbiaceae. The record is from RNAcentral.